AUGAUGGCGCUUCGUCUCCUCUCUACACUGAUCCUGCUCUCUGCCAGCGGCUCUGUCUGUGGACUGAUGAUCUCUGAGGUUUUGGGAAACGAUGUUAAAUUCCCUUUGAGCGCGUCAUGUGGAGCAGAGAAGACUCAGCUUCUGUUUAUCUCUGCUAGAGAUCCGUCCCCCCGGCUGGUAGCGUCUCGGACUGGAGCUCAGGUCUCUCCUGGACCACUUUACACUGACAGACUGAACCACAGCGACUCUCUUCUCCUCCUGAAACACGUGAGGAUGAACGACGCCGGACUCUACGAGCUGACAUGUAACGACCGUGUAGAGACUCUGAUGGAGCUGCAGCUCUUCUUCCCGGUGGAAACGGUCUCUGCUGAGGGGCAAACCGUGGAUCUCCCGUGUCAUUCCGUUACACUCGGUAGAUCCGUGGAGAGUGUGAAGUGGGAGAAGAGCAGCGGACAGGUGGUGCUGGAGGUGGACGGACUCUCUGGAAGCUGGACUCCGGGGGAAGAGUUUCAAGGAAGCCGGCUGUCAGUGUCCAGGGACUGGAAGGAAACAGGGGACUUGUCGCUCCGGAUGGAGGUGAAGCAGGAACACGGAGGACUUUUCUUCUGCUCGGUAACAGAAGGCAGAGUGAAGACCUUGAAGGCAGCAGUGAGGCUGACAGUCAGACCGAACAUCACGGAUCCAGAGAGCAGCGAGACCAGCGAGCAGCCUCAGGAGUCACACUGUGCUGAGCUUUAUUGGCAUAAACUCUUCAUCACAGCAGCAGUUGUCCUGAGCCUCAUUCUGCUUAUGUUCAUGGCUGCUGCUGGAUGUUUUCUGAAAAGAAUCAGGCGAGCUGUUCUGAAGGCGUCGUCACAAGACAGAAAGAAAGAAGACGAGAGCAACACAGAUGGAAUUCCUCUGAACCCAAGAGAGGCUGAAGAAGGUCUGUCCUCUUCAGGAUCAGACACCAAAGAGAAAACCUGCUGGAGGACCAGAGAGAGUCUCUGAUUUCUACUCCUGAUCUUUCAAUUCGUUUCAAUUUCAAUUCAGCUUCAUUUAUACUGUGUCAAACACAACAGUCAUUUCUAGACACUUUGUCAGAGAAAUAGAGAGUGACUGGUGGCAAUUACACACACACACACACACACACACACACACACACUCACACACCUGUAAACUACAUUUUCUAUUUUUAUGAACUUGUAGCAAGUUUUUUUUAUCAAUUGACAAAAAUGUUUUAAAUAAUGUUUGUAUUUCUCCUGAUAAAUAAGAUGGAGAAUCACACUGUCUAAUAGUGAAAUACAUCCAAAAUACACAAAACUAUUGAAAUGAUUCAUAAAGAAUAACUUAUGACCUGGUAUUGUUGAUAAACUCUUGUGUCACUGGGAAAAUGUUACGAUAUAAGAGGAGAGUUACAGUUUAAAACUCAUGAAGUCCACACCACUCUGAAAGGUUUUUGUGUCUCAUAUUGUGGUGUAAAAAGAUGGAACAAAUUCUUUGUGGAGACCAGACAUUUGUCAAAUGAGUUUCAAUUCAAAAAGAGAUGUAAAGAGCUGAUUCUGGGAGGUUUGGUGAUGAUAUGAUGAGGGCCGUUAAUUCAUGGUUCUGUUUGUACUGAAAGUGAUGAUGAUUAUAAAGCUAUACUGUUUUGUAAAUUAAGAUCAGGCAAUAAUGUGAAGCGGUAUGAUUGAAUAAGAACUUCUUCUUCCUUUUUGGGCAUGCGAAAAGCACGGUAUGGUGUGGACUUUUCAUGUUUCUCAAUUUGAUGUUUUUUCUAUCUUUUUUGGCUGUUCACCUUUUUUAUUACAUGUUUGAAAUAAAGCUUCUCAAACUAAACUAUUCACAGUAUGUAGAAGAAAUUGAUUCGGUCCAGACGCUGGCCUUCCCACCACUGAG
Long non-coding RNA from Salarias fasciatus (jewelled blenny), 1878 nucleotides. Lineage: Eukaryota; Metazoa; Chordata; Actinopteri; Blenniiformes; Blenniidae. The record is from Ensembl.